This 465-nucleotide ribosomal RNA is filed under the name uncultured bacterium. RNAcentral describes it as "partial 16S ribosomal RNA". It matches the Rfam family "Bacterial small subunit ribosomal RNA", at positions 28 to 507 of the family's 1533-position model. The record is from RNAcentral.
GACGAACGCUGGCGGCGUGCUUAACACAUGCAAGUCGAACGGAAAGGCCCUGCUUGCCGGGUACUCGAGUGGCGAACGGGUGAGUAACACGUGGGUGAUCUGCCCUGCACUUCGGGAUAAGCCUGGGCAAAUGGGUCUAAUACCGGAUAGGAGCCAUUUUUAGUGUGAUGGUUGGAAAGUUUUUUCGGUGUAGGAUGAGCUCGCGGCCUAUCAGCGUGUUGGUGGGGUAAUGGCCUACCAAGGCGGCGACGGGUAGCCGGCCUGAGAGGGUGGACGGCCACCUUGGGACUGAGAUACGGCCCAGACUCCUACGGGAGGCAGCAGUGGGGAAUAUUGCACAAGGGGCGCCAGCCUGAUGCAGCGACGCCGCGUGGGGGAUGACGGCCUUCUGGUUGUAAACUCCUUUCGCUAGGGACGAAGCUUUUUGUGACGGUACCUAGAUAAGAAGCACCGGCUAACUACGUG